Non-coding RNA from Sturnus vulgaris (Common starling), 79 nucleotides. Lineage: Eukaryota; Metazoa; Chordata; Aves; Passeriformes; Sturnidae. The record is from RefSeq and is a predicted model, not a curated record.
UGCUCAGGUGAUUUUGAGCAUGUAAAUUCAACUCUUCAAUACUGUUAGUGUAAGUUCUUCAAAUCUGAUUUCUAAUUCA